AUGUCGGUGGUCGGGACAAGGAUGGGCCCCUUCUCUUGGGGCCCUGGGCACGCGAGAGUGCGGGCGACGGAUCUUCGAAGAAUCUUCGAGAAA
This 93-nucleotide transfer RNA is filed under the name Microbacterium barkeri. RNAcentral's name for it is "tRNA-Glu". The record is from RNAcentral. Lineage: Bacteria; Bacillati; Actinomycetota; Actinomycetes; Micrococcales; Microbacteriaceae.